This is a long non-coding RNA of Patella vulgata (common limpet), 489 nucleotides long. RefSeq lists it as uncharacterized. The transcript has 2 exons. The record is from RefSeq and is a predicted model, not a curated record. NCBI's taxonomy places the organism in Eukaryota, Metazoa, Mollusca, Gastropoda, Patellidae.
AACAUAUCACGUUUAUUAAUUAAUUGUCAAAAAGAAAGAUCCGGGUUUAAAUAAUAUAAAUUCUGGAAAGAUCUGUUAGUCAAACACUUCUGACGGAGACCACAGCAGUAAUAUCUGACUGAGACCACGGCAGUAAUAUCUGACUGAGAUUACCGCAGUACCACUAAUUGUCAUUAGAGUCAAAAUGGUAAGCAAGAGAGUGUUGAGUGUUUCCAUGGUGAUUCUGUUACUAACAGUUUUAACCAUGACCCCAUCAACCGAAGCUGCUAAUUGUUUUACUACAUGGAGUAGGUGUAGUGGAUGGAGUUCCGGGGGUACAGGCAUAUUCUGGCGUAGUUGUAAUGACUAUUGUAUAAACGUCAAAGGUAGAAGUGGAGGGAGAUGUGUGUUACGAAAUGCUCCCGAGUGCCCAUUCGUUGCUCGAUCUUACCAAUGUCAGUGUUAUUAAAAAUAACAUAAACGGAAUGAAUUAAAAGAUUCCAAAAUCAA